UGUGGGAGCGAGCCUGCUCGCGAUGGCGGUGUGUCAGCCGACAUCAAUGUGCUUGGCAGGCCGCCAUCGCGAGCAGGCUCGCUCCCACA
This 89-nucleotide unclassified non-coding RNA is filed under the name Pseudomonas mediterranea. Lineage: Bacteria; Pseudomonadati; Pseudomonadota; Gammaproteobacteria; Pseudomonadales; Pseudomonadaceae. The record is from RNAcentral.